CAAUCCUCUGUUUUCUGAAUACACAGUUUCGUGAUGUUUUUAAAAAGACAUUCUGUCGUUGUGUUCAGAACGGAUCGCUUACAAAAUGUUGCCGAAAUGAAAAAGCACAGCAUAAAACUACAAAGCAUGACAAUGGCAUAUCCAAUAUAGAUAAAACGGACCAAAGUUCGACGCCGCGAGAAAAAGUACAAUACGAUGAAACGAUAUUUAGUCAUAUUUAAACGGAACACCAAGACAGAGCAAAACAAAUGUAUUGUUUAAGGAAAUAUGAAAGGAGGUCAGAUGGCUACUAUCCGAUGGACAUGAACACUUUUUAAAAUAUCAUUUAACAUACUCAUAAAUAAAAGUAACUACAAAACUGCCC
Molecule: long non-coding RNA, 364 nt
Filed under: Mytilus galloprovincialis (Mediterranean mussel)
Lineage: Eukaryota; Metazoa; Mollusca; Bivalvia; Mytilida; Mytilidae
Source: RNAcentral